RNAcentral lists this ribosomal RNA (503 nucleotides) under uncultured bacterium. RNAcentral's name for it is "bacterial SSU rRNA". It matches the Rfam family "Bacterial small subunit ribosomal RNA", at positions 355 to 873 of the family's 1533-position model. The record is from RNAcentral.
UGGGGAAUCUUGCGCAAUGGGCGAAAGCCUGACGCAGCGACGCCGCGUGUGGGACGACGGCCUUCGGGUUGUAAACCACUGUCGGGAGGGACGAAGCUCUGACGGUACCUCCAAAGGAAGCACCGGCUAACUCUGUGCCAGCAGCCGCGGUAAUACAGAGGGUGCGAGCGUUGUCCGGAAUCACUGGGCGUAAAGGGCGCGUAGGCGGCUUGGUAAGUAGGGGGUGAAAUUCCGUGGCUCAACCGCGGAACGGCCUCCUAAACUGCUAAGCUUGAGCGCGGUAGAGGCUGGUGGAAUUCCCGGUGUAGCGGUGGAAUGCGUAGAGAUCGGGAGGAACACCUGUGGUGUAGACAGCUUGCUGGACCAUUACUGACGCUGAGACACGAAAGCGUGGGUAGCAAACAGGAUUAGAUACCCUGGUAGUCCACGCCCUAAACGAUGCAUACUUGGUGUGAGCCAUUCAUUUGGUUCGUGCCGGAGCUAACGCGUUAAGUAUGCCGCCG